CCUCCUCGAUUCGAGGGGCGGUGCCGCCGCCACCGCCGCCGCAGUUCCAGCCUCCGCGCGCCGGGCGCAAACGAACCCGAGAGCUCGCGUCUGGGGAUCGGCCUGAUUACGCGCCACGGUGGCCAAUCCUACGCGGCGCGCGCUGGUGGGCGAUGCGAUCGGAUGAGGUGUUGGCGACGGCGGCGGCGCUGCGUGGAGAGGAGGAGGAGGAGGAGGGCCUCGAGCUACCCCGCGGCGGCCUUUCCGCCGCCGCCUCCGCGCCUUGGAGCCGGUGAUGGCGCCCGCCGUGCAGCCGCCGUCCCCGCCCCCUCCGCGGCGCCCCCGCACGGGCCCUCCCCCCGGGCUGAAGAAUCUCGGCAACACCUGCUACCUCAACAGCGUGCUACAGUGCCUCGCGUCGACCCCUCCCCUCGCUACCUUCUGCCUGUCCUUCCGACACUCCAAUCUAUGCAAGAAGGUGUUCCCGAACAAGGACAAGGAGUGUGUGUUCUGUGUGGUCGAACGGCAGAUCUGGCGGCUGCUUCGAGCGGAAGCAGCCGCGAUAGACUCUCCAGGGAAGGUCAUACGCUGCUUGCCGCUCUUUGCUGAGCACUUCCGGUGGGGGCGCCAGGAGGAUGCGCACGAGUUCCUGCGUUAUGUUAUCGACGCUUGUCACACCGCUGGUCUACGCAUACGCAAGCGGCUCCCUGUGUCAAACGCCAAUGAGGAUGCUACCGAGGAGGAGGGCCGGGUGCAAGGGCCAUGUACAGUGAUGAAGGAGACAUUUGGUGGUGCACUACUCAGCCAAGUGAAGUGCCUCACUUGCAAGGGAGAGUCAAACAAGACCGAUGAGAUAAUGGAUAUCAGCCUUGACCUGCCCGGAAGCAAUUCUGUUGCUGAUGCGCUUGCCCGUUUUUUUCAGCCUGAGAUAUUGGAGGGUGCAAACAAGUAUAGCUGUGAAAGAUGCAAGAAGCUCACCUCUGCACGAAAGCAAAUGUUUGUACUCAGGGCACCUAAGGUGCUUGUCAUACAACUCAAGAGGUUUGAGGGAAUACAUGGCGGAAAGAUCAACAGGAACAUUGAAUUCAAGGAGUCUCUCUUUCUUUCUGACUUCAUGUAUAAAAAAAAUCAGGAUUCACUGCCAGUAUAUAAUCUUUUUGGCAGUAUUGUUCACUCAGGGUUCUCUCCAGAUUCUGGUCACUACUAUGCGUAUGUUAAGGAUGCUAUCGGUCGCUGGUAUUGCUGUAAUGAUUCCCAUAUCUCCCCCUCAAGCUCUCAGGAUGUUCUGUCGGAGAAGGUCUAUAUCCUAUUUUAUAUUCUGAUGAGUACCAAAACUCAAAAGCCUAGUACAAAUGGUUACUGUUCUAGUGCAGCUAAAUCUUCCAACAUCAAUGGAAAUGGCAUAUCAAAUUGCACAUCUAAUGAGCCCUUGAAGAUACCACUAAUAAAACAGAAUGGAUUAUGUUCUACUAAAGGUAUUGUGCCGCCACUACCCCUGAAGAAUGGCAAGAUCGCACCAGGUCUGCAUCUCAAGCCAAUCCACUUGAAGAAUAAUGGAGCAGAGAAAGUUACAUCAAAUGGCAAGGCAAACAUCAUUCCGGGAAAUAAGCUAGAAAUUAACGAGGGUUUAACACUGCCAGCAGUGAAUGGCCGUGAGUCUGGAAAAUCUACAGACCCCAGUAAAAUGAAUGUUAGUGUUAGUAUUUCUUGCAAUAAGACAGAUGUUAAUUCACAGAGAAUGUUACACAAUGCGAAUGGAAAUGGAAAUCCAAUUCACUUGAAUGAUCUUCAGGAGACCACUGCUGCCAAGGCUUCAUUUGCUGAGCAAUAUUCUGAGAAGUCAUCUAUUGCCAGUUUGGGGGAUUCUAAAAGUUCUGUUGCAUGCCAUGAAGUGUCUGCAAAUGUAGUAAAGGAUGUGGUGUCUCCGGGUAAGGACAGUGCUCCCUUGAAGCACCGUCUUGAUGAAGGGAAGUUUAAGGAAAUGCUUGCUGCGUCAGCAUCUUCUGAGCUUCGCUCCUCUGGUUGGGUGGAUGACGUCUCUAAUUUCAUGCGGUCUGCAAAGAGGCGUUGUGUGCAAAAUACAGCCAUGAAUCAAGACAGCGAUACAAUAAGAAAGGAGCUAAUAAGCGAAUCUGGAAGAAUAUUUAGGUCAAAAGUUCCAGAGUCGUUGAGGGAACAUCUCAUUCAAGCCCUGCGGUCGUACUACCAGGACAAAUUUUCACCGGGAUAAUAAAUUUUGUGCGGAGAUUCAUACAAAACUUAAAAAUGUAUCUGUAGCCAUUUUGUAGAAAGACAAUCUUAUGGUGGAUGUAUGUUCCAUGUGGUCUGUUUGCUCUGGUUCAAUGGAAAUCCUGUUGGUCAACUACCAGCUCCUUGUGCGGCUUAAUUUCUGAGGCAUUUUUUGUUAAUCCAAGAUGAGGUUGAGACGUAGAGUGGCCAGACAUGUAAAAUAUCGUCUUCUUUUUUGCUGUUGCUCCAGAUUCUAUAGGAUUAAACACCACCAGCGAGCCUCAUUCCUUGAC
Molecule: RNA transcript, 2501 nt
Organism: Oryza brachyantha (malo sina)
Lineage: Eukaryota; Viridiplantae; Streptophyta; Magnoliopsida; Poales; Poaceae
Gene name: ubiquitin carboxyl-terminal hydrolase 25
Exons: 9
Source: RefSeq, a predicted model, not a curated record